This 497-nucleotide ribosomal RNA is filed under the name uncultured bacterium. RNAcentral's name for it is "partial 16S ribosomal RNA". It matches the Rfam family "Bacterial small subunit ribosomal RNA", at positions 28 to 507 of the family's 1533-position model. The record is from RNAcentral.
GAUGAACGCUGGCGGCGUGCCUAAUACAUGCAAGUCGAGCGAACAGACGAGGAGCUUGCUCCUCUGACGUUAGCGGCGGACGGGUGAGUAACACGUGGAUAACCUACCUAUAAGACUGGGAUAACUUCGGGAAACCGGAGCUAAUACCGGAUAAUAUUUUGAACCGCAUGGUUCAACAGUGAAAGACGGUCUUGCUGUCACUUAUAGAUGGAUCCGCGUCGCAUUAGCUAGUUGGUAAGGUAACGGCUUACCAAGGCAACGAUGCGUAGCCGACCUGAGAGGGUGAUCGGCCACACUGGAACUGAGACACGGUCCAGACUCCUACGGGAGGCAGCAGUAGGGAAUCUUCCGCAAUGGGCGAAAGCCUGACGGAGCAACGCCGCGUGAGUGAAGAAGGUCUUCGGAUCGUAAAACUCUGUUAUUAGGGAAGAACAAAUGUGUAAGUAACUGUGCACGUCUUGACGGUACCUAAUCAGAAAGCCACGGCUAACUACGUG